Molecule: ribosomal RNA, 301 nt
Filed under: uncultured bacterium
Lineage: Bacteria
Description: partial 16S ribosomal RNA
Rfam family: Bacterial small subunit ribosomal RNA
Source: RNAcentral
CAGUCGCCGCGGUAAUACAGAGGGUGCGAGCGUUAAUCGGAUUUACUGGGCGUAAAGCGUGCGUAGGCGGCUUCUUAAGUCGGAUGUGAAAUCCCUGAGCUUAACUUAGGAAUUGCAUUCGAUACUGGGAUGCUAGAGUAUGGGAGAGGAUGGUAGAAUUCCAGGUGUAGCGGUGAAAUGCGUAGAGAUCGGGAGGAACAUCAGUGGCGAAGGCGGCCAUCUGGGACAACACUGACGCUGAGGCACGAAAGCGUGGGGAGCAAACAGGAUUAGAGACCCCCGUAGUCCCUGUCUCUUAUAC